This 253-nucleotide ribosomal RNA is filed under the name uncultured bacterium. RNAcentral describes it as "partial 16S ribosomal RNA". It matches the Rfam family "Bacterial small subunit ribosomal RNA", at positions 524 to 776 of the family's 1533-position model. The record is from RNAcentral.
UACGUAGGGUGCAAGCGUUAAUCGGAAUUACUGGGCGUAAAGCGUGCGCAGGCGGUGAUGUAAGACAGGUGUGAAAUCCCCGGGCUUAACCUGGGAACUGCAUUUGUGACUGCAUCGCUGGAGUGCGGCAGAGGGGGAUGGAAUUCCGCGUGAAGCAGUGAAAUGCGUAGAUAUGCGGAGGAACACCGAUGGCGAAGGCAAUCCCCUGGGCCUGCACUGACGCUGAGGUGCGAAAGCCAGGGGAGCAAACGGG